Molecule: non-coding RNA, 2188 nt
Organism: Lolium perenne
Lineage: Eukaryota; Viridiplantae; Streptophyta; Magnoliopsida; Poales; Poaceae
Source: RefSeq, a predicted model, not a curated record
CUCUCCCCUAUCACGCUUCCCCCGUUCCCAGCCGCUCACCCCGCCCUCUCCUUCUCAGCCGCUCGCGCCGCCCCGGUCAUCUCACGUGCGUGCCAAGGUCUUCGAGCGCCACCAAGUCAUGUUUAUCCUCCGGCCGAAAUCCCUCAAGCCGGCAAUGUUCCUCCCAUCCCAUAAGGAGCGCGCCACCGUGAUGAGCGCCGCCGCCAUGUAGGGUUCGGGCGCCGGAGCCUCAUCCCCCCCCCCCCCCCGCAGCAUCCAUACUUCCUCCCUCCCCGAGUUCACCGGCUUCAGGCCCUGGUUCCUAUCAGGCCUACGAGCUGCUGCGCCUGUAGCUCGACCAGCGCACCUGCGAGCUGCUGCGCUAGGGCCUUGACCAACUACGGUACCGUGCUAUCCGUAGAGAGGUUCAAGCCCCACGCACGCGGUUUCGGCGUCUCGCCCCGGCAUCAGAUCCAGGGAUGGGGCUCAUCUCCAGGGAAGCAGCGCAAUGCCGAAGAGCAGGAAAUAAUCUCCAGGGAUCGGAGGGACCGCCGGGACUAUGAACAGAUCGCCAACCUCGCUAAGAGGAUGGGCCUCUACAGUGAACUGUAUGGGAGGGUUAUUGUUGUGAGGAAGGCCCCACUGCCGAACUACAGGCCAGACCUAAACGAAAAGUGUCCACAGAGAAAGGUGGUGAUCCCGCUAAGCUUGCAGAGGAGGGUUAAAGGACUUGUACAGGAGCACCUUGACUGUGCGCUCUUGCCAUUUUGAUAAAGAUGACGGCAAGACAGAAAGUGGUUCCGAGAAAACUGAGCCUGCGAACUUGAAUGAGAGGAAGGACCCUCUGCUCGACGAGUCGGUCAUGGAGAAGGUCCUUCGGAGGAAGAGUAUUCGGAUGCGCAAUUUUCAACGAACUUGGCCGGUAUGAUGAACUCUAAAGAGUAGCUGAAUGCCAUAUAGCUUUUUUUAUGUUACAGGAAAGAAACAAAGGAUGAUUUGCAAAUAACCUUCUGCAGCAUUUCUUAUAUGUUCCUUCAUAUUUAUAUUUAUUUAUGCAAGUUGAUGAUUCAUGGACUUAUUGGAUGAAGCUUUUACCUGCUUGUAAUAACACGAAUCCCCUGAAGGUGGUAAGAUGGUAGAAUUUUGGAAAUCCCUCCCAGCAUAGGAUAAGGAAAGGCUUCUAGCUAGCAGUCAUUGCACGUAAUCAGAUUAGUGAUCUUGUGAAUGAAAGCAAUGUAAAGAUGAACAGACUUAGGCAUCAGACAGAUAACUUAAAGUAAAGAUGAACAUACGAGAAGGCCACUUGCAGGUUGGGAUAAGUGCAUGGAGUCAAAUUUUCUUUCUGUCGAAGUAUAGCGGAUAAACAGGUUAAAUCCCUACUGAAGUCCAAGGCUAGCGGAUAAACAGGUUGAAUCCCUACUCAAGUCCAAGGCUAGCGGAGAAACAUGUUGAAUCCCUACUCAAGUCCAAGGCUAGCGGAUAAACAGGAUAAUAUCUAUUUAUUGGAUUAGUUAUUGAUCGACUACAUCACUAUAUCAAGGAAUUAAGGACGAUGAAGAAAACAUGGAGGUUUAAGAUAUACGUGGGUGCAUCCCUUCUUACCUAGAACAACCAUAUGCGCGAAUGAGUACAAAAUGAUGCAUAGCCCUUCCAAAGAAGAUAACUAUGGUAAGAAGAUAGAUCAUGAUGUGAGAGGAUGAGAGCUCAUGAUCUGAUACUGUUUUAACAAAACAAAUAAAAUGAGGUAUACUAUGUUUGGUCGUGACUUGAAGAUCUAGGAGCACAUAAGCACCAAGACUGAUGUGUAGAUACAUAGCCAUGCUAUGAAGUACUUCCUCAAUGUCUAGAAGCUCGGCCUUGCCAUAGGGCUGCCGCCUACUGGUAGCUCAUUAUUUUAGCCACUACUCCGCCGCCCCAUCAGUGCUCCUCCUCUCUGGGGUCAGGCCAUGUAUGACAAGGGAAGAAAUUGCUCCUUCCACUGUGUCAGGUUCAGUCAACACCACCAUCUUGGCCACUGGUUGUAAGGAGUGCAUGUAUUGCUUCUUUAUAUCGUAGUGUCUGUCACUUUUAAACUUGUUAAGUACAACACUAUUGUUGGUAGAGUUCAGGCUUGAUGCUGAAUAUUUGUUGUAUUAAUACUUUUAUGGUGAAUCGAGAAAAACAUCAGUCCAUAUUGCGUUGAUGCAGCAGAUAUUCUCAAAAAAGAAAA